This 351-nucleotide small RNA is filed under the name Histoplasma ohiense. RNAcentral's name for it is "hypothetical lncRNA". Lineage: Eukaryota; Fungi; Ascomycota; Eurotiomycetes; Onygenales; Ajellomycetaceae. The record is from RNAcentral.
GACUUGCACCCACAGCGAGUACUUUUAGGUGACUGGGCGCCCCUAUUGUGUAAUCGCAUAAUUACUCUCUGUGGAUGCUUUGCCCUGUUAUGAGUUUCAAACCCCUUCUUAUCGUGUCAUCCCACGAAUCCCUUGCGGUUACCCUCUGAUUUUUGGCUCGCUGGGACAGCUGCCCUCUCAGUUGUGACCUGAGGCUCCGUGCCUUUUUCGAGGCCUUCAUGAGUACGAACUUCUCUCUGCCUCACAUUUCAGUUCUUGCAAACACCGAGAACCACCAGAUGCUCGGUGUCUCGAUUCCUUCCGGGACCCCACAAGGUUAUAUCAACGUUCAUCCGUACCAUCAAUAUCGGC